This 424-nucleotide ribosomal RNA is filed under the name uncultured prokaryote. Its description in RNAcentral is "bacterial SSU rRNA". It matches the Rfam family "Bacterial small subunit ribosomal RNA", at positions 355 to 796 of the family's 1533-position model. The record is from RNAcentral.
UGGGGAAUCUUCGGCAAUGGGGGCAACCCUGACCGAGCCAUGCCGCGUGAGUGAUGAAGGCCCUAGGGUCGUAAAGCUCUUUCGCCAGGGAUGAUAAUGACAGUACCUGGUAAAGAAACCCCGGCUAACUCCGUGCCAGCAGCCGCGGUAAUACGGAGGGGGUUAGCGUUGUUCGGAAUUACUGGGCGUAAAGCGCGCGUAGGCGGAUUAGUAAGUCAGAGGUGAAAUCCCAGGGCUCAACCCUGGAACUGCCUUUGAUACUGCUAGUCUAGAGUUCGAGAGAGGUGAGUGGAAUUCCGAGUGUAGAGGUGAAAUUCGUAGAUAUUCGGAGGAACACCAGUGGCGAAGGCGGCUCACUGGCUCGAUACUGACGCUGAGGUGCGAAAGUGUGGGGAGCAAACAGGAUUAGAUACCCCCGUAGUCC